UCUCAGUACUCCGGAUUUUAUAAACACUAACCAAUAAUAUAAAAUGUGUCGCUAUCAAUUCUCUAUCCUCGUUUAUAAAACGAUUUCCGCAGAAGGAUCCCAUGUUCAUGAUGGAGGUAUAGUUGGAAUUUAUUGUUACCUUCUUGCAGUAAUUUUGUGUUGCAGUUAUUUAUUUGAUCCUGGGGCUCGGUUGUGGGGGCUUCAAUGAACAGUGCUUGGACUGUAGAUUCUGUUUCACCAACCUUCAAAAAUAUCAAUCUCCUCCAACUUCCUCACCAGCCAGGAUCAUCAGGAAACAAACAGGAAAUGAAGUGACUUUCACAAAAACAUGCCCUUGAACUUGAUCUCAAUCUAUCAUCACAGGGAACAAAAAAACACCCUGAUAAAAAAAGAAAAUCUCAAAUAAAUAUAAAAAACCAGGUUGAAGAGAAAAAAUAAAACAAAAUUCAACACAAUCACCUGACCUGACACCUGCUUUGCUCAUUUUAGGAGUGAAAAUCAGUAAACCACAGUGUUACACACUCCAUCCCUCUCAAAAAUGAAAAUAAAAGCUCUUCCAGAAAAAGAAAAGGUGCUGAGCUAGAACUGCAAAUCCAUGUUUUUAUCACCAAGUUCAUACUCCAUCCGAGUAUUAAAUUAUAUUUCAUUUUCUUUACAGAAACAGUAGGAUGAUCCCUUGAUUAUGGAUUGGGACAGGUAUCAUAACAAAAUGAGGAAUUAAAUAUAUAUCAUCAUAUCAGUAAUCCAUAUAUGGUAAAGAAGUAGAAAAACACAAAAUAGAAAAUGUAAGAGUUUGCAAUCUAGAAAUGAAAUAUCAGUAUUAUAUGCACAUACCUAAAUAUAGAGAGAGUUGAGGAGGAUUGAGAGUGAGUUUGUGAGUAGAGAGACAGAAACAGAGAGGUAAGGUAAGAGCUGAAAAUUGGAAUUGGAAUUGGAAUUAGAAGGGUUGAUGCAAAGCAAAGGAAACCAAAGUGUGAGAUUAGAUUAGAAAAUAGUAGAGAAAGAGAGAGAGAGA
RNAcentral lists this long non-coding RNA (1015 nucleotides) under Phaseolus vulgaris (common bean). RNAcentral describes it as "long non-coding RNA (PVUL_LNC001819)". Lineage: Eukaryota; Viridiplantae; Streptophyta; Magnoliopsida; Fabales; Fabaceae. The record is from RNAcentral.